Molecule: long non-coding RNA, 2074 nt
Organism: Cynoglossus semilaevis (tongue sole)
Lineage: Eukaryota; Metazoa; Chordata; Actinopteri; Pleuronectiformes; Cynoglossidae
Exons: 4
Source: RefSeq, a predicted model, not a curated record
GGUUUUGCCUGAAGGUGAUCAGUCAGUGCAGAGGCAAGAAAAGUCAAAGCUCACACUCUAAGUUAAGGGAGAUGCAAAUCCUUCCUGGAUGACUUGGUCGUGUGAGGCAGGAAUAUAACAUAAAAAAAAAUUCUAAGUGAUUAGAGGCACAGCCUUUGGUGUGCAGUGACCUCUCAGUUGUCCUGCUCUACUUUUCCGUUUUUAAAGAUUCUGCUCCAGUAAUGACGUUGUUACUACCUGGAAUAAUUCGGGUUGCCUUACAGAGCUCACAGCUUUACCUUCUUUUGUGUGCCAUUUUUUCGCAAAUCAUCUUUAUGAAUUAUUGAAUUAUUUUUUUGUUUUUUUGGACUUUUGCUUUAUUUAAUUUUGGCAGCAUUUACACUUAUUUAACCCCCUUUUUUUUUUUUUUUUGGCUUAUGAUCUCAAUCCUGGAUUCGGCAUCGUUUUUACCUACAGUAUGAGGCACUUACUUGUUUUCUCUUCUUUUUGGAGACUUUCUGAUGCCUUAUGCAAACAGUGUGGUAAGGAAAUAAUUAGUGUUGAAGUUGUAAAUACUAUCUCUUUUUUAAGCAUAACAGCACUGUCCUUAACUGGCAGUGUAGACGAACGGUAGGUAUUUGUUAGUUUUAAUGCAGUGUGACACACCAACACAAACACACACACACACACGUACUCAGAGGGCACGCUGACGGUCGUACUCCUAUUUUGGGCUGUACAGGUUUUCUUUACUCUUCUUCACGUAGAGACAACCUCCUACUCAACUCCCUCCUUGGUGGGCUGGAGCCGGAGUCUUUCUUGGAUCCAGCAGGAGGCAGUCAUUAUCUCUUCUGUCAGACCACGCUAUGCAGAGCCCACUGGACUCAUCAAAGAAGCCCUUGCCAUGUGGCAGAUUCCCCACUCCAAGUGUUCAGAGACUGUGAUGAUGAUGAUGGUGAUGGUGGUGGUGGUGGUGGUGGCGGCCAUAGUGAUGAUGCCUCUGGUUUACACUGUAGUGCAACCCAUAUCAAAUGUCAGUGAGUGAGGAGUAUUUAUGAUUGUGAAUAAUAAGGGAAAAGCUAGCAACACCACAAAGAAGCUGCUGUCUUGUCCAUUGUUUUUUUUUUCUUUUUUUUUUUUUCUUUUUAAUUUGCUUCUUUUUGUUCAAUUGGCCUCCUUUGAAGGGCCGUUCCCUUGGUGUGUAAACAGAGUUUUACGCUGGUCACAAUGAGAAUGGAACACUUGCUCUACCUCUUACUCCUUCACUCUCUUUGACACCUUUUACUGAGUGGGACUGACAAACUUGAAGUAUGGAAAGACAAAAAAUAAAGGCUUUAUUGUUCUGUACAUGCAUUUUCAGCAUUUGUUUCGUGACUCCCAGGGAAAAACUUUUAUCAAAAUCUCCCUCGCAAUAUUUAAUAGCAUCGUACAACUUUUGAAGGUUUGUCACAUGCGUGUUGGAGUGUGACUGAGGUCUUGUUAUCCCAAACCAGCUUGGCCGAAUCUGUCUUUUUGUGGGGUUAAACCAUAGAGAUGUUUGUGUAAAAUUCUCUGUGGAGCACUAUUGUUUAAAAUACUAAUGUCAGUCUGUAAACACUAAUCACGUAACAGCACCAGAUAUGUAAGUGAUGAGUGUUUCCAAAGAACCAGUAGGUGGCAGUAAUGGAAAUUAAAUAGAGCUACAGUGCUGCUGUUAAAAAACCUAAAGCAAAAGAAGCAAUCAAGAAGGUGUGUUUGCUGGAUUAGCUUAUCCUAGCUAUAUCUCAGAGAAAACAGACUAUUAUUAACAGGAUCAGAUUCAACUUUGAUGUUUUCCCACGUGUGUCAUGAAAAGGUGCUUCACAACUUCAUCCACAGCCUGACAGGAAGAGAAGCUUCGUGGUUUGAAGAAAAACAAAAAUAAGGAAAAAGAGAGAAAUGAACCGACACCAAAUCCAGUGAACACUGAUGUAAAUGCAUGUCAGGCUCAGGGAAUGGAAAAAGCCUGAAUCCCAUCCAACAUAUUGUACUUGCUGGAUUCUGCCAUUCCUCCCCCGAGUGUCAUGAGACACUCAGCUGUCAAACAUCAAGCCAAAAUGAGUGUCAGAAGGUAGGUGUG